UGUGUGCCUGUACCUGUGUGCGUGUGUAUGUGUGUGCACACGCAUACAUACACACACACACACACACACACACACACACACACACACACACA
RNAcentral lists this microRNA precursor (92 nucleotides) under Echinops telfairi (small Madagascar hedgehog). Its description in RNAcentral is "miRNA (ENSETEG00000023824.1)". The record is from RNAcentral. Lineage: Eukaryota; Metazoa; Chordata; Mammalia; Afrosoricida; Tenrecidae.